RNAcentral lists this ribosomal RNA (36 nucleotides) under Daldinia eschscholtzii. RNAcentral's name for it is "partial 18S ribosomal RNA". The record is from RNAcentral. Lineage: Eukaryota; Fungi; Ascomycota; Sordariomycetes; Xylariales; Hypoxylaceae.
AGAGGGCUCGUUGGUGACCAGCGGAGGGAUCAUUAC